UGCCAGCAGCCGCGGUAAUACAUAGGGGGCAAGCGUUAUUCGGAAUUAUUGGGCGUAAAGGGUGCGUAGGCGGCAUUUCAAGUCUGUUGUUAAAUUUCCCGGCCUAACCGGGAGUCGGCAAUGGAUACUGAUAUGCUAGAGGAUGGAAGAGAGAAGUGGAAUUCUUGGAGUAGCGGUAAAAUGCGUAGAUCUCAAGAGGAACACCGAUGGCGAAGGCAGCUUCUUGGUCCAUUCCUGACGCUAAGGCACGAAAGCGUGGGGAGCGAACAGGAUUAGAUA
RNAcentral lists this ribosomal RNA (279 nucleotides) under uncultured bacterium. Its description in RNAcentral is "partial 16S ribosomal RNA". It matches the Rfam family "Bacterial small subunit ribosomal RNA", at positions 506 to 784 of the family's 1533-position model. The record is from RNAcentral.